This is a long non-coding RNA of Mustela lutreola (European mink), 1706 nucleotides long. RefSeq lists it as uncharacterized. The record is from RefSeq and is a predicted model, not a curated record. The transcript is spliced from 6 exons. NCBI's taxonomy places the organism in Eukaryota, Metazoa, Chordata, Mammalia, Carnivora, Mustelidae.
UUUCUUUUUCUUUUUCCCUCUUUUUUCUUUCUUUUCUUUCUUUCUUUUUUUCCCCUCUCCUAAUUUCUUUCUUUCUUUCCUUCUUUCUUUCUUUCUUUUUUCUUGGUCUCAGCCGUGCGGAAUGGAGGGAAGUCGUGACAGCAGGCUGCUCAGGCGGCGGGCUGGCAUUCCAGGCGGGCUGUGGCUGAGCCAGCGUGCGCCUCAGUCCUCCGCAGCUCGGGCGGCGGGAAGGUGGAGCCAGUCGCUUCUCCCCGAAUAACUGGGAGAUGAAACAGGAAGCUCUAUGACACAGUUGAUCGAAAAUGACACAGACACAGAAAAAUCAGGACUCGGCCCCCUCCAGUGCCUCUACCUGCUGCCCACAGCCGGAGUGCAGAUUGCAAAGUAAGAAGCAGAAGGGGAUAGGACUUGGCUGCCAGCAGCUUGCCCAUCCUUUAUGGAUUGGAUCUGUAAAGAAGACUCUCAGAAGCUGUGGUUAUUUCAAGCUAUGAUGACUCGUUUUGAGUUCAUUUUUCUACAUGGCAUGAGGUGAUGCCGAGCGGCUCUUCGGGUGCCUGAGGGCCAUUCCUACAGGAGCCCCACGCCUACAGCUGGCCAGUUCCCAUCCUUCGCCCAUUUGUCGAUGUGCGGCCUUUUCAUGAUGGAUAGGAAUCUGUGUCACUGGUCCAGGCAGUCCACCAAACUGGGUCCUGGAAGGAUGUUGGUGCCGGAGAAGGGGGAGCAGAUCCUGCAUGGAGGUCACAGCGGGUGUGCCCCACGCCGUGUUCUUUCCCUGACCUUCUACAGCUUCGUUCUUCUUUCCUGGAAGUAUAAGAUACAGCUGUUGUCCCGCUGAACUUGCCACCCUGGUCAAGCGACUUCACUUCAAGCCUGAGAUGAAGAUGUUGUGAGGCUUAACUAAAAUAACAGACCUCAAGUGUCUGUCACCUUGUGCCCAGCAACUCACUGCUCAUUGGCUCAACUAGGUUAAAAGGUUCUGAUCACAGUGCCCCAGGACAGAAAGAGCUCGCCUCCCUCUGCAGCUCCAGGUAUGACCCAACAGCAGAGGAAAACAACAACAAGAAGAAGGAGAAGAAAGAGAAAGAGGAAAAAAGGGAGGGGAAAGGAGAAGGAGAAACAUGAAGAGAAGGAAGAGGAAGGAGAAAAUUGGCAGGUGAAAGACAGGCAGGAAGAGCAAGUAAGAGGCCAAAUUACACCAUCAUAAGACCUCGUGAUGGCCCAAGGACAGCCUAUUAUAAGCUGCAGCCACCGGGGAAAAAAGAAACCGAGGACUCUGCCCCCCUAGCUGAAGGAGGUACAAAUGGAGACCAGACCCUUUGAACAUUAAAUCCUCUCCCCUUGCCCAGCCUCUGUGACAAUUCUCAUUGAAAAUAACCGAGAAAUAAGUUUUGAUGGCAUGUGUUGCUAUGCAAAUGCACCCACAUUUGCAUUUUUCGUUCUGAAUAAUAUUUUACAAGUGAACCUCUCUUAGGCCAUUACCCUAUUUCUAUUCUCUCAUUUACUAAUUUUAUUCAGGAGGUAAAUUGUGCCCAACUAAGAGACUACAUUUUUCAGGCCCUUUGCUGGUCACUGCAGCCAUGUGACUAAUUUCUAACCAAUGAGAUAUAAGCAGAAGUAUGGGAUUUAUGAGAAAGUAAGUUAAAAGGAACUAGCUCAGGGUGCCUGGGUGGCUCAGUUGAGUGACUGCCUUCAGCUCAACUGAGCGA